RNAcentral lists this ribosomal RNA (506 nucleotides) under Acinetobacter sp. AaD8c. RNAcentral describes it as "bacterial SSU rRNA". It matches the Rfam family "Bacterial small subunit ribosomal RNA", at positions 20 to 521 of the family's 1533-position model. The record is from RNAcentral. Lineage: Bacteria; Pseudomonadati; Pseudomonadota; Gammaproteobacteria; Moraxellales; Moraxellaceae.
GGGCCCCGCAAUGAUGCUGGCGGCAGGCUCAACACAUGCAAGUCGAGCGGAUGAAAGUAGCUUGCUACCGGAUUCAGCGGCGGACGGGUGAGUAAUGCUUAGGAAUCUGCCUAUUAGUGGGGGACAACGUUCCGAAAGGAGCGCUAAUACCGCAUACGUCCUACGGGAGAAAGCAGGGGACCUUCGGGCCUUGCGCUAAUAGAUGAGCCUAAGUCGGAUUAGCUAGUUGGUAGGGUAAAGGCCUACCAAGGCGACGAUCUGUAGCGGGUCUGAGAGGAUGAUCCGCCACACUGGGACUGAGACACGGCCCAGACUCCUACGGGAGGCAGCAGUGGGGAAUAUUGGACAAUGGGGGGAACCCUGAUCCAGCCAUGCCGCGUGUGUGAAGAAGGCCUUUUGGUUGUAAAGCACUUUAAGCGAGGAGGAGGCUACCUAGAUUAAUACUUUAGGAUAGUGGACGUUACCCGCAGAAUAACACCGGCUAACACGGUGCAAGCAGCCGCGGG